AAUAAGAUGCCUGAUAAAAGGAUUAUUUUGAUAGAAUAAAUUAUGCUGUGUUGCUCUUAUUG
This 62-nucleotide transfer RNA is filed under the name Membranacea stenoprocessa. RNAcentral's name for it is "tRNA-Ile". Lineage: Eukaryota; Metazoa; Arthropoda; Insecta; Hemiptera; Cicadellidae. The record is from RNAcentral.